This 468-nucleotide ribosomal RNA is filed under the name uncultured bacterium. RNAcentral's name for it is "partial 16S ribosomal RNA". It matches the Rfam family "Bacterial small subunit ribosomal RNA", at positions 38 to 507 of the family's 1533-position model. The record is from RNAcentral.
GGGGGGGGGGGGGGGGGGGGGGGGCGGGGGGGGGGCGGGGGGGAGGGCGCUGCGUUUGGGGGGUGCUCGAGGGGCGAACGGGUGGGUGACGCGGGAGUAACCUGCCCUUGACUUUGGGAUAACUUCAGGAAACUGGGGCUAAUACCGGACAGGAGCUCCUGCUGCAUGGUGGGGGUUGGAAAGUUUCGGCGGUUGGGGAUGGACUCGCGGCUUAUCAGCUUGUUGGUGGGGUAGUGGCUUACCAAGGCUUUGACGGGUAGCCGGCCUGAGAGGGUGACCGGCCACAUUGGGACUGAGAUACGGCCCAGACUCCUACGGGAGGCAGCAGUGGGGAAUAUUGCACAAUGGGCGGAAGCCUGAUGCAGCAACGCCGCGUGCGGGAUGACGGCCUUCGGGUUGUAAACCGCUUUCGCCUGUGACGAAGCGUGAGUGACGGUAAUGGGUAAAGAAGCACCGGCUAACUACGUG